UCCUUGUCCAGGGCCCUCCCUGCUUCCUUGGCCAGCAGAGGGAAGCUCCCAUUCUCAUCUUUCUUGAAUUAUUCACUGAUGGUUGAUCUCUCUCCCCUGAGCCUCAGGCUCUGGGCAAAUGACUGUAGCUCUUCCAAAGGGGGAGCUCCAGACUAGCAUAAACAAACAACUCAUCCUAAAACUCUCUACUCAGAGCUGCCAUCCUGCUAUGUACAGUCUCCAAGUCUCCAUGUUAUCGGAUCAAAGACCUGAACACUCACAAUAGAUAGUAUGGCUUCACUGAAGAACUAAAAAUAGGAAGAAAAUCCUCCUUUAAGGGUCUGCUGCUAAUUUUGCUACCUUUUUCAAGAUGUUUCUAGUCUGGCACCCACUCCAAGAAGCUUCCAGUGAUGAUGGCUCUCCCCUGCAGCUGAAGCGAGGAAGAAAAAAUAACCAGCACAGAGCUCUAAAGAUGCACAUCUUCAAGUGCCAACAAAAAUGCCUCUUGCAAGAAUACCCUGUUCAAUGAA
Molecule: long non-coding RNA, 509 nt
Organism: Canis lupus familiaris (dog)
Lineage: Eukaryota; Metazoa; Chordata; Mammalia; Carnivora; Canidae
Exons: 3
Source: RefSeq, a predicted model, not a curated record